Molecule: ribosomal RNA, 504 nt
Filed under: uncultured bacterium
Lineage: Bacteria
Description: partial 16S ribosomal RNA
Rfam family: Bacterial small subunit ribosomal RNA
Source: RNAcentral
AUUGAACGCUGGCGGCAGGCCUAACACAUGCAAGUCGGACGGUAGCACAGAGAGCUUGCUCUCGGGUGACGAGUGGCGGACGGGUGAGUAAUGUCUGGGGAUCUGCCCGAUAGAGGGGGAUAACCACUGGAAACGGUGGCUAAUGCCGCAUAACGUCGCAAGACCAAAGAGGGGGACCUUCGGGCCUCUCACUAUCGGAUGAACCCAGAUGGGAUUAGCUAGUAGGCGGGGUAAUGGCCCACCUAGGCGACGAUCCCUAGCUGGUAUGAGAGGAUGACCAGCCACACUGGAACUGAGACACGGUCCAGACUCCUACGGGAGGCAGCAGUGGGGAAUAUUGCACAAUGGGCGCAAGCCUGAUGCAGCCAUGCCGCGUGUAUGAAGAAGGCCUUCGGGUUGUAAAGUACUUUCAGCGGGGAGGAAGGCGAUGUGGUUAAUAACCGCGUCGAUUGACGUUACCCGCAGAAGAAGCACCGGCUAACUCCGUGCCAGCAGCCGCAGUAA